ACACGCAAGUAGAGCUGUCACAGAGUUAGCUUGCUAUCUGCUGACGAGCGGCGGACGGGUGAGUAAUGCUUGGGAACAUGCCUUGAGGUGGGGGACAACAGUUGGAAACGACUGCUAAUACCGCAUAAUGUCUACGGACCAAAGGGGGCUUCGGCUCUCGCCUUUAGAUUGGCCCAAGUGGGAUUAGCUAGUUGGUGAGGUAAUGGCUCACCAAGGCAACGAUCCCUAGCUGGUUUGAGAGGAUGAUCAGCCACACUGGGACUGAGACACGGCCCAGACUCCUACGGGAGGCAGCAGUGGGGAAUAUUGCACAAUGGGCGCAAGCCUGAUGCAGCCAUGCCGCGUGUGUGAAGAAGGCCUUCGGGUUGUAAAGCACUUUCAGUCAGGAGGAAAGGUUAGCGGUUAAUACCCGUUAGCUGUGACGUUACUGACAGAAGAAGCACCGGCUAACUCCGUGCCAGCAGCCGCGGUAAUACGGAGGGUGCGAGCGUUAAUCGGAAUUACUGGGCGUAAAGCGUACGCAGGCGGUUUGUUAAGCGAGAUGUGAAAGCCCCGGGCUCAACCUGGGAACUGCAUUUCGAACUGGCAAACUAGAGUGUGAUAGAGGGUGGUAGAAUUUCAGGUGUAGCGGUGAAAUGCGUAGAGAUCUGAAGGAAUACCGAUGGCGAAGGCAGCCACCUGGGUCAACACUGACGCUCAUGUACGAAAGCGUGGGGAGCAAACGGGAUUAGAUACCCCGGUAGUCCACGCCGUAAACGAUGUCUACUAGAAGCUCGGGUCCUCGGACUUGUUUUUCAAAGCUAACGCAUUAAGU
RNAcentral lists this ribosomal RNA (814 nucleotides) under Pseudoalteromonas sp. CS4. Its description in RNAcentral is "bacterial SSU rRNA". It matches the Rfam family "Bacterial small subunit ribosomal RNA", at positions 53 to 865 of the family's 1533-position model. The record is from RNAcentral. Lineage: Bacteria; Pseudomonadati; Pseudomonadota; Gammaproteobacteria; Alteromonadales; Pseudoalteromonadaceae.